Long non-coding RNA from Macrosteles quadrilineatus (aster leafhopper), 1029 nucleotides. RefSeq lists it as uncharacterized. NCBI's taxonomy places the organism in Eukaryota, Metazoa, Arthropoda, Insecta, Hemiptera, Cicadellidae. The transcript is spliced from 2 exons. The record is from RefSeq and is a predicted model, not a curated record.
AUUUUGUUUCCUUAAAUAUGUUUGAGUGAUAUCAUUUUAAAUUUCAUGUUUGACUGACUCACCCACAACCCCAUUAUAAUGGGGUUCGACUUCCUGGGACGAACACGCUGAGGUCAUCGUAGAACUAACUUGAAGCCGCAGGCCUACUAGCCUAGACACCUGGGUAUGGGAAAGCAACACCACUUAGAGGAACCUCUUGUCUACCCUGUGUUUGGAGGCGAGGACCCUUUUUGAGUCUGUCGGACCUGGAGUUUUUCAACGCUAGAGUACAUCCAUGGGCAACUACCUACUUCUGUCCACCUCGCCAACACACCUCAAAAUUGCUCGAUACUCAGGUGACUUCUAAACUUUUUGGAAAUUAUUUUGCUUCAGCGGAUGGACUGAUCUACAACUUUCAAAGUGAAAUCUAAAUUAGGCCUAGGCCUAUUUGAACUUAGUGGGUGCACCCAUGGACUCAAAUUAACUUCAUGUAUACAACUUUAUAAAUUUUGGUUAUUAUUUCUGGCCUAACUUUAACUUGGUGAUUUCCAGCGAAUUUUUGGUAGAGAUUCUUGUAACGUUAAACUGUUUUAUCUGUUCUGAAUUUUAGCUUUAACUUUAACUCAUUUUAUAUUGAAUUUUAUUCUGUAAACCCAUACUGGGAAGAAUUAAAAGAUGUUUUGAUUAAAUUUCACUUAACUUUAACUUUUAUAAAUUUUUUGGCCAAGCUUCAAUAGGUUACAGCACAGACUUGGUGUCCCAGGAAUUACUGUUUAGAUUUAUAGUUAGUUUCUUUAUUGCAGGUUGUAAUUUUAUUUAAGUAUUUGUAUCUUUUAAGAGUUUUGGGCCCAAAAUCUCGUCUUGUGUUAAGGUUGGCGAAACAAAGGUUUUAGUUGAUAAGUAAUUCAACAUUUUGACUUUUCAGGUGUUAAUUAUUUAGGAAUUUGUCUACGCUUUUAUCAUACUUGUAGUAAAUUUGUCAUUUAUGGUUUGAACCAGUUUGUAAAAGGGUAUUUGUUUUUCUUUUAAUAAAUCAGGGUGAGUCAGUUA